CUACGGGAGGCAGCAGUGGGGAAUAUUGGACAAUGGGGGAAACCCUGAUCCAGCAAUGCCGCGUGUGUGAAGAAGGCCUGCGGGUUGUAAAGCACUUUCGGUUGGGAGGACUGCUUCUAGCACUAAUAUUGUUGGAAGUUGACGUUACCUUCAGAAGAAGCACCGGCUAACUCCGUGCCAGCAGCCGCGGUAAUACGGAGGGUGCAAGCGUUAAUCGGAAUUACUGGGCGUAAAGCGCGCGUAGGCGGCUAGAUCAGUCGGGUGUGAAAGCCCCGGGCUUAACCUGGGAACUGCAUCCGAUACUGUCUAGCUCGAGUACAGGAGAGGAGAGUGGAAUUCCACAUGUAGCGGUGAAAUGCGUAGAUAUGUGGAGGAACACCAAUGGCGAAGGCAGCUCUCUGGCCUGAUACUGACGCCGAGGUGCGAAAGCGUGGGGAGCAAACAGGAUUAGAUACCCUUGUAGUC
RNAcentral lists this ribosomal RNA (465 nucleotides) under uncultured bacterium. RNAcentral's name for it is "partial 16S ribosomal RNA". It matches the Rfam family "Bacterial small subunit ribosomal RNA", at positions 339 to 795 of the family's 1533-position model. The record is from RNAcentral.